This 286-nucleotide ribosomal RNA is filed under the name uncultured bacterium. Its description in RNAcentral is "partial 16S ribosomal RNA". It matches the Rfam family "Bacterial small subunit ribosomal RNA", at positions 335 to 614 of the family's 1533-position model. The record is from RNAcentral.
ACUCCUACGGGAGGCAGCAGUGGGAAUAUUGGACAAUGGGGGCAACCCUGAUCCAGCCAUGCCGCGUGUAUGAAGAAGGCCCUCGGGUUGUAAAGUACUUUCAGUGUGAGGAAGGUUGCGUGGUUAAUACCCACGUAAUUUGUACGUUAGCCACAGAAGAAGCACCGGCUAACUCCGUGCCAGCAGCCGCGGUAAUACGGAGGGUGCAAGCGUUAAUCGGAAUUACUGGGCGUAAAGCGCAUGCAGGCGGUUAAUUAAGCCAGAUGUGAAAGCCCCGGGCUCAACC